This 260-nucleotide ribosomal RNA is filed under the name uncultured bacterium. RNAcentral describes it as "partial 16S ribosomal RNA". It matches the Rfam family "Bacterial small subunit ribosomal RNA", at positions 95 to 353 of the family's 1533-position model. The record is from RNAcentral.
CCGGCGCACGGGUGAGUAACACGUAUCCAACCUGCCGUCUACUCUUGGACAGCCUUCUGAAAGGAAGAUUAAUACAAGAUGGCAUCAUGAGUCCGCAUGUUCACAUGAUUAAAGGUAUUCCGGUAGACAAUGGGGAUGCGUUCCAUUAGAUAGUAGGCGGGGUAACGGCCCACCUAGUCUUCGAUGGAUAGGGGUUCUGAGAGGAAGGUCCCCCACAUUGGAACUGAGACACGGUCCAAACUCCUACGGGAGGCAGCAUG